AGAACGAACGCUGGCGGCAUGCCUAACACAUGCAAGUCGAACGAGACCCCAACUUCGGUUGGACGUCUAGUGGCGCACGGGUGCGUAACGCGUGGGAAUCUGCCCUUCGGUUCGGAAUAACUCGGAGAAAUCCGUGCUAAUACCGGAUAAUGACGUAAGUCCAAAGAUUUAUCGCCGAGGGAUGAGCCCGCGUAGGAUUAGCUUGUUGGUGAGGUAAAGGCUCACCAAGGCGACGAUCCUUAGCUGGUCUGAGAGGAUGAUCAGCCACACGUGGACUGAGACACGGUCCCAGACUACCGUACGGGAGGCAGCGAGGUAGGGGAAUACUUGGACAAGUGGGCGAAACGCCUGAU
This 353-nucleotide ribosomal RNA is filed under the name uncultured soil bacterium. Its description in RNAcentral is "bacterial SSU rRNA". It matches the Rfam family "Bacterial small subunit ribosomal RNA", at positions 26 to 387 of the family's 1533-position model. The record is from RNAcentral.